CACAUUUAAUUCAUUUUGUCAUUCACCAAACUUUGACCCAAGCAAGCUUAACCCUAAUCUAUAUUAUUUCUUAAUAUUGUGCCGUUGAUGGCGUUGAGGACAGCACAACAUUAAGAAAUAACAAUACAUCACAAACUUUCUUCAUUUUUAAACAUAAUAUAUACAACACACAACAGGAUAAUAAUAUAAAAGAAAAUGCACAGUACAGUGAAAUGGCUCGACUAGAUUUUACAGUGAGCUCGAGCAGAGUAAAAAUAAUCGGGUUGGGCUUGAAGGAGGGGAUCAGGUUACCAAGUGGGAUCGCGAGAGCUAGGGCAGAGGAUCGGUGUGUGGAGGGCGAAUUUUACGUCCGAACCUACAACCGUCGGGCGUCACAUCGCCGUACACGUCGGCGUCGGGCGACAUGACGGUUGGCCGUAAUACUUUUUCGUGCGUGGGAGGCGCGGCAACGAGGCGAUAGGGUCUGCACGGAGGGAGCCGUGCCAGUGGGAAGCUAGGGCAAUGCCAGAAGGAGACUUGUAACGACGGUACGGAAGAAAUGGUCGCAACAACCAAUUUUUUGGUGCGGAAAUCAGAGCAAAAAAAGACAGAGAAGAGGCAGGUCAGCGCGUUAGUGCAACGUCGGUGAAGGGGAACUCGAGCGCAGAGUUUCAAUAUGAGGAGGAAGAAGGGUCGGUGAGGGCUUCCCUUAUUUGUUUCACGUGAAUAGGGGAAGAGGAAGAUCGGGCUUAGGAGGAACGUCAGGGUUCAGGCUCACGAGAACAAAGCAGAGUUGUGAGGACUACGACAACGGAGAGGGAGAACAAUAAAGGGGUUCCGCUACUGAAUCGCGGUAUAGAAAGUGGAGGACCGAGCGGCUCCAUGCGAUCUCGAACUAAGAGGAAGAGACCCCGUUUGGGGCGGUGUUCGGCGCGGCUUUAAGCCGCGAAAAUCCGUCCUUUGAGGCAGCGGUAUUACUACGUCGAGGGGCAUUUUUAAGUAAAACGUGGAUCGCAUAUACAUUACCCGCUUGCCCCUCCGCCCAGCCCUUUCUCUGCGAUUGCUCGCUUCAUCGUCUGCCCUAACAUUCCUCUGCGAUCUCUAGCUUCUUCUGUCGUAACCUCUCGUUCUGGAAUCCGCUAGUGUGAUAUUGUGAUACUGAUAUACAUGGAUGCAACUAGAGAAAGACAAAGAAUGAGAGUUGCAACUGUCAUAUGCAUGAUGUACGAGUAUUACAACUCCUACAUAAAUUGCUACCCUGCAUGAAAGCCUCAUAUGUUUGGGACAAAUGGGUUCUGGAGUUGUUUGCGGGGCACCCAACAAGAUUCAACAAUAUAUUAUGUAUGAUACAAGAGGUAUUCAACAAUAUGUUAGAGGAACUACACGAGAAUCAUGGAUUUCAUGGCUCUUCAAGAACAACUUUGCGAAAGGUGUUGACGAUAACCCUUUACGUAUUAUUCCAGAAUAAAUCAAUGUGAGACGCAAUGGAGUGAUUUCAGCACUCCUCUGAGACAAUAUGUAGAUACUUCUAAAUGGGGUUGAAGGCACUUAUUGAGUUUUUCAGCACAAGUUAUAAAGCCAACAGAGCCAACUUUCGAACUGACCCUCAUAGAUUUUGACACGAUGCACGGUACAUGUCAUUAUUUAAGAAUUGGAGCAAUCGAUGAAACAUAUGUUGAUGCACAAGUUUCAAAUAAUGAGAAGAUCGCAUUCAUCGGCCGUUGCGGGUCCCCAACGCAUAAUGCAUGGUUGUGUGAGAGUUCAACAUGUGUUUCACUUUUGUCAUGACCGGUUGGGAGGGCAAUGCACAUGCCAGUAGAAUUUUGAAAGCUGCAACGCGGAAUAAUAAGUACAACUUCUCACAUCCUCCUGUAGCUACGCUUGAGACUUGACUACUUUCGUAAUUCAACUUUACCUCAAAACUAGUUAUGAAGUGCAUAUUAGAUAAAUAUUACUUAGUUGAUGUUGAAUAUUUGUUGCAACGAGAGUAUCUCAAGCUCUAUCAUAAUAUGAGAUAUCACAUACCUGACUUUGAACCAGUAAGCAAUGUAACAUGAGGUAGAAAAUAAAUGCUCAAUAAAAAAUAUUUCUCCUUACGCGUUGUCAUUGAGAAGACUUUCGAUAUUUUGAAGAAUAAAUGAGUUAUACUGCGCGAUAUGUCAUCUUACACGUGUUCCAAACAAGUGCAGAUUUUGAUUGUCACAAUAACGCUCACAAUUUCAUUCAGCGUAAUCCUUCCUACAACGACAUCAACUUCCGACGGGCGGACAAAGAUUAUGAGCAUGUACAUGUCAAAGCAUUUGAGUAUCGUCUUGGGCAUUUUUUAUUACAGCAUGAGAAUGAUACUUCUACCACAUGUACUGCAGACGGGAAAGGUGCAUGUGAUAUGACAUAGUUGAGAGAGCAAAUUACUUGUGUGAUAGUAGGAGGGUGAUUGGAGUAUUUAUUAUUUUAUUAUUU
Phalaenopsis equestris is the source of this 2439-nucleotide long non-coding RNA. RefSeq lists it as uncharacterized. Lineage: Eukaryota; Viridiplantae; Streptophyta; Magnoliopsida; Asparagales; Orchidaceae. The transcript has 3 exons. The record is from RefSeq and is a predicted model, not a curated record.